RNAcentral lists this ribosomal RNA (332 nucleotides) under uncultured bacterium. RNAcentral's name for it is "bacterial SSU rRNA". It matches the Rfam family "Bacterial small subunit ribosomal RNA", at positions 568 to 898 of the family's 1533-position model. The record is from RNAcentral.
CGUGUAGGUGGUCGGGUAAGUCAGAUGUGAAAGCCUUCUGCUUAACAGAAGAAGUGCAUUUGAAACUGCUCGGCUAGAGUACGGGAGAGGAGAGUGGGAUUCCCGGUGUAGAGGUGAAAUUCGUAGAUAUCGGGAGGAACACCAGUGGCGAAGGCGGCUCUCUGGUCCGAUACUGACGCUGAGACGCGAAAGCGUGGGGAGCAAACAGGAUUAGAUACCCUGGUAGUCCACGCCGUAAACGAUGGGCACUAGGUGUAGGAGGUAUUGACCCCUUCUGUGCCGAAGCUAACGCAUUAAGUGCCCCGCCUGGGGAGUACGGCCGCAAGGCUAAA